Molecule: ribosomal RNA, 240 nt
Filed under: uncultured bacterium
Lineage: Bacteria
Description: partial 16S ribosomal RNA
Rfam family: Bacterial small subunit ribosomal RNA
Source: RNAcentral
UGGCGAACGGGUGAGUAACGCGUGAGGGACCUGCCUCAAAGAGGGGGACAACAGUUGGAAACGACUGCUAAUACCGCAUAAGCCCACGGGUCGGCAUCGACCUGAGGGAAAGGGAGCAAUCCGCUUUGAGAUGGCCUCGCGUCCGAUUAGCUAGUUGGUGAGGUAACGGCCCACCAAGGCGACGAUCGGUAGCCGGACUGAGAGGUUGAACGGCCACAUUGGGACUGAGACACGGCCCAG